CCCCCUCACCGCGCAUACUGCCACAGCCACUCGCAGCUCCCAUGGCCCACCUCCCUCUCCUCCAGGCUGGUGCCCCCGGGGUCUUUCUGAGCACAUCAGAUCAUCUUGCUCAGAAUUGCCCUGGCUACCGCCUCUAGUUUAAUGCCCAACGGCCUUGGUAGGAUAUUCGGUGCCACACACCCUCCAGUCUCCCCUCUAAUCCCUAACCCACCUGCCUCCCCGCCUAGGGGCCCUGCUCUCUGCAGGCUCUACUGUGUCCUGGGCCCUCAGCUGCGAGACCAACCCGUCCUUCCAGGAAAAUGCAAGCCUUCCCAGGCGGGGUUACGCUCCCGCCCUCCACCUUGUAAUUAUUACCUGACCCUCUGUCUCCUGCAACGCCAGGGCUAGAGGACAGGCUGGCCCUUAUUCCUAUGGACACUGGCCAACAUCCAACGCCUGGGACAUAAACUGCACCCAAUGGGAUGUGAACUGCACUUUACAGUUUGCACGGUGUGUUCUGGUAUUUGCUCAAUCUUCACACACACUCAGGUGGCAGUACGUUUUAAUGAUGCAGGCGAGGGAACUGGGGCUCAGAAAGGUCUAGUGCCUUCAAGAGGUAGAACCGGUGCCCGGGCUCCGGGCUGUCUAAGCGGAGAGCCUGCAGGACUCGGAAUCCUGAGGACCUGAGUUUAAGCCCGCUCAGCCAGGGACUGGGUGAGGCAUCGCAGGCAAGUGACUUCACCUCCCUGCGCCGGUGCCCUAGUCUUUACCGAAGACAGCAAUUCCAAUCCGGGACUGUGGUGAGGUUUAAAUAAAACAAUGCCCAGUAAGUGGCCAGCAGGCCUGGCUCGCAGCCGGAACUAUAAAUGCGAGUUCCCUUUCUGACCCCAGCUUGGCAAAGGCUUCUCCUGUUUGGGCAGCAGCUCCUCCUCUUCUGAACUCCCGAGGCCACAGGGGUGCCAACUGUGGAGCGCCCGCCGUGCCAUUUUGACGCGAGAGCUGUGUCUGGUACCAGCGAUCCUUAAAGGAGCUCGGGGACC
RNAcentral lists this long non-coding RNA (1019 nucleotides) under Macaca fascicularis (crab-eating macaque). Its description in RNAcentral is "lncRNA (ENSMFAG00000049839.1)". The record is from RNAcentral. Lineage: Eukaryota; Metazoa; Chordata; Mammalia; Primates; Cercopithecidae.